RNAcentral lists this ribosomal RNA (400 nucleotides) under Goniomonas pacifica. RNAcentral's name for it is "partial Bacterial small subunit ribosomal RNA". It matches the Rfam family "Bacterial small subunit ribosomal RNA", at positions 359 to 773 of the family's 1533-position model. Lineage: Eukaryota; Cryptophyceae; Goniomonadida; Goniomonadaceae. The record is from RNAcentral.
GAAUUUUCCGCAAUGGGCGAAAGCCUGACGGAGCAAUACCGCGUGAGGGAUGACGGCCUUUGGGUUGUAAACCUCUUUUAUCAAGGAGGAAGUUCUGACGUGUACUUGAUGAAUAAGCAUCGGCUAACUCCGUGCCAGCAGCCGCGGUAAUACGGAGGGUCCAAGCGUUAUCCGGAUUUAUUGGGUUUAAAGGGUGCGUAGGCGGGUCUUUAAGUCCGUGGUGAAAGCCCAUCGCUCAACGAUGGAACUGCCAUGGAUACUGGAGGUCUUGAAUUCAGUUGAGGUAGGCGGAAUUGAUGGUGUAGCGGUGAAAUGCAUAGAUACCAUCAAGAACACCGAUUGCGAAGGCAGCUUACUGGGCUUGAAUUGACGCUGAGGCACGAAAGCGUGGGGAGCGAAC